Molecule: unclassified non-coding RNA, 390 nt
Filed under: soil metagenome
Description: partial contains 5.8S ribosomal RNA, internal transcribed spacer 2, and large subunit ribosomal RNA
Rfam family: 5.8S ribosomal RNA (bases 1-122)
Source: RNAcentral
GAUGAAGAACGUAGUGAAAUGCGAUACUUGGUGUGAAUUGCAGAAUCCCGUGAACCAUCGAGUCUUUGAACGCAAGUUGCGCCCGAAGCCAUUAGGCCGAGGGCACGCCUGCCUGGGCGUCACACGUCGUUGCCCCCCCAUCUACUCCUUCGGGAUUGCGAGGGGCGGAUGAUGGCCUCCCGUGCGCCUCGUCGCGCGGUUGGCAUAAAUGCCAAGUCCUCGGCGACGCACGCCACGACAAUCGGUGGUUGCGAAACCUCGGUUGCCCGUCGUGUGCGUUCGUCGCGCAUCGAGGGCUCGAAAAAAUGCUCGGCUCCGGCUGGGCUUUCAACGCGACCCCAGGUCAGGCGGGGUUACCCGCUGAAUUUAAGCAUAUCAAUAAGCGGAGGA